Oryza nivara is the source of this 207-nucleotide non-coding RNA. The record is from Rfam. NCBI's taxonomy places the organism in Eukaryota, Viridiplantae, Streptophyta, Magnoliopsida, Poales, Poaceae.
UUUAAGUGCAACCAUAAGUUUCCGCGCCCCACUUUGAUCGUUCGUCUUAUUUAAAAAUUUUGUAUAAUUAAUAUUUUUGUUGUUAUGAGAUAAUAAAACAUGAAUAGUACUUUACUCGUGACUUAUGUAUUUAAUUUUUUUUAAAAUUUUUUUUCAAAUAAGAUGAACAGUUAAAAUUGGGUACGAAAAAUUAUGGUUAUACUUAAA